GACGAACGCUGGCGGCGUGCUUAACACAUGCAAGUCGAACGGAAAGGCCCUGCUUUUGUUGGGUGCUCGUGUGGCGAACGUGUGAGUAACACGUGAGUAACCUGCCCUUGACUUUGGGAUAACUUCAGGAAACUGUUGCUAAUACCGGAUAGGAGCUCCUGCUGCAUGGUGGUGGUUGGAAAGUUUCGGCUGUAGGGGAUAGACUCGCGGCUUAUCAGCUUGUUGGUGGGGUAGUGGCUUACCCAGGCUUUGACGGGUAGCCGGCAUGGGAGGGGGACCGGGGACAAGGGGACUGAGGGAGGGAGCAGACGGGAAUGGGAGGCAGUGGGGGAGAGCAUGGCACAAUAGGGGGAAGUGUGAUAUAGAAACGCCGGGUGUGGGAAGAAGGCUUUGGGGGUGUGAACAGCUUUGGGCUGAGACGAAGCGUGAGUGACGGUAACGGGUAAAGAAGCACCGGCUAACUACGUG
This 468-nucleotide ribosomal RNA is filed under the name uncultured bacterium. RNAcentral's name for it is "partial 16S ribosomal RNA". It matches the Rfam family "Bacterial small subunit ribosomal RNA", at positions 28 to 507 of the family's 1533-position model. The record is from RNAcentral.